Non-coding RNA from Schistosoma rodhaini, 46 nucleotides. The record is from Rfam. NCBI's taxonomy places the organism in Eukaryota, Metazoa, Platyhelminthes, Trematoda, Strigeidida, Schistosomatidae.
GCACAGCUGAAGAGUCCCACAAUAGGUCGAAACGGCCGUCCAGUGC